GCAGAUGGCUGGAUGGCCGCCGCUGCGUUCGCGCAGGGGAGGAAAGUCCGGGCUCCAUGGAAACACGGUGCCGGUUAAUGGCCGGCGAGGGCGACCUCAGGGAAAGUGCCACAGAAAGCAAACCGCCAUAUACGUAUGGUAAGGAUGAAAGGGUGCGGUAAGAGCGCACCGCGUCCCUGGUAACAGGGAUGGCAGGGUAAACCCCACCGGGAGCAAGACCAAUAGGGAUGGUUGCCUUAGGGCAGGCGGGUUUCCGCGCCGCCGUCCGGGUCGGUUGCUUGAGCAUGUUGGCAACAGCAUGCCUAGAGGAAUGGCCAUCACCAGUUUACUGGUACAGAACCCGGCUUACAUGCCAUCUGCCACU
RNAcentral lists this RNase P RNA (364 nucleotides) under Alphaproteobacteria bacterium. RNAcentral describes it as "RNase P RNA component class A". It matches the Rfam family "Bacterial RNase P class A". From Rfam's summary of the family: Ribonuclease P (RNase P) is a ubiquitous endoribonuclease, found in archaea, bacteria and eukarya as well as chloroplasts and mitochondria. Its best characterised activity is the generation of mature 5'-ends of tRNAs by cleaving the 5'-leader elements of precursor-tRNAs. The record is from RNAcentral. Lineage: Bacteria; Pseudomonadati; Pseudomonadota; Alphaproteobacteria.